Thalassophryne amazonica is the source of this 152-nucleotide long non-coding RNA. RefSeq lists it as uncharacterized. Lineage: Eukaryota; Metazoa; Chordata; Actinopteri; Batrachoidiformes; Batrachoididae. The record is from RefSeq and is a predicted model, not a curated record. The transcript is spliced from 2 exons.
GGGCCCCAGACGCUUUCCUAUUGGUUGAUUUGGUGUGAGGGCGGUAGAUUAUUUAGCGACUGUGUGAUUUGGUACUGUACCGAUCUAACAUAAAUUAGAGAUUAAACGUCUAGGACCCCAUAGACCAGAGGAUUUCACCCUUUGUCAAGAAG